Molecule: transfer RNA, 90 nt
Filed under: Rhodoferax sp.
Lineage: Bacteria; Pseudomonadati; Pseudomonadota; Betaproteobacteria; Burkholderiales; Comamonadaceae
Also listed under: 2 other names
Description: tRNA-Ser
Rfam family: tRNA
About the family: Transfer RNA (tRNA) molecules are approximately 80 nucleotides in length. Their secondary structure includes four short double-helical elements and three loops (D, anti-codon, and T loops). Further hydrogen bonds mediate the characteristic L-shaped molecular structure. tRNAs have two regions of fundamental functional importance: the anti-codon, which is responsible for specific mRNA codon recognition, and the 3' end, to which the tRNAs corresponding amino acid is attached (by aminoacyl-tRNA synthetases). tRNAs cope with the degeneracy of the genetic code in two manners: having more than one tRNA (with a specific anti-codon) for a particular amino acid; and 'wobble' base-pairing, i.e. permitting non-standard base-pairing at the 3rd anti-codon position.
Source: RNAcentral
GGAGCGGUGGAUGAGUGGUUUAAGUCAUACGCCUGGAAAGCGUACGAGGGGUCAAACCCUCCGGGGGUUCGAAUCCCCCCUGCUCCGCCA